This 270-nucleotide long non-coding RNA is filed under the name Rattus norvegicus (Norway rat). RNAcentral describes it as "long non-coding RNA NONRATT005854". Lineage: Eukaryota; Metazoa; Chordata; Mammalia; Rodentia; Muridae. The record is from RNAcentral.
GAAAAUCUCCACUUCAACACCGAUGAAGGCAGUGGAAGCACUGUAGCACGCGACCUAGUUCAGCUGGACCUAGCUCUCGGCCCCCUCUGAGCCUCCCACGUGCCGGGCUGACAGCAUGGACCGUCAUGGCCUUUCAGAUCUCAGUGUGCUCCUACACUUUCCAGCUGAAAACAUUUCUCUCCAACACUACCACUUAUUUCCUAUUUGAAAUUACAUCUUUCAAAGAUUCGUUUUAAAUAUAUGAAUGUUUUUUCUGUGUUUGUAUGUUCA